This 497-nucleotide ribosomal RNA is filed under the name uncultured bacterium. RNAcentral's name for it is "partial 16S ribosomal RNA". It matches the Rfam family "Bacterial small subunit ribosomal RNA", at positions 28 to 507 of the family's 1533-position model. The record is from RNAcentral.
GAUGAACGCUGGCGGCGUGCCUAAUACAUGCAAGUCGAGCGAACAGACGAGGAGCUUGCUCCUCUGACGUUAGCGGCGGACGGGUGAGUAACACGUGGAUAACCUACCUAUAAGACUGGGAUAACUUCGGGAAACCGGAGCUAAUACCGGAUAAUAUAUUGAACCGCAUGGUUCAAUAGUGAAAGACGGUUUUGCUGUCACUUAUAGAUGGAUCCGCGCCGCAUUAGCUAGUUGGUAAGGUAACGGCUUACCAAGGCAACGAUGCGUAGCCGACCUGAGAGGGUGAACGGCCACACUGGAACUGAGACACGGUCCAGACUCCUAAGGGAGGCAGCAGUAGGGAAUCUUCCGCAAUGGGCGAAAGCCUGACGGAGCAACGACGCGUGAGUGAUGAAGGUCUUCGGAUCGUAAAACUCUGUUAUUAGGGAAGAACAAAUGUGUAAGUAACUAUGCACGUCUUGACGGUACCUAAUCAGAAAGCCACGGCUAACUACGUG